This 1979-nucleotide ribosomal RNA is filed under the name Thalassotrechus barbarae. RNAcentral describes it as "SSU rRNA". It matches the Rfam family "Eukaryotic small subunit ribosomal RNA". Lineage: Eukaryota; Metazoa; Arthropoda; Insecta; Coleoptera; Carabidae. The record is from RNAcentral.
AGCCAAAUUAAGGUGAAACCGCGAAAGGCUCAUUAAAUCAGUUAUGGUUCCUUAGAUCGUACCCACAUUUACUUGGAUAACUGUGGUAAUUCUAGAGCUAAUACAUGCAAACAGAGCUCCGACCGGAGACGGAAGGAGUGCUUUUAUUAGAUCAAAACCAAUCGGCGGCAAUAGUGUUUUGGCAUUAUUGUUCGUCGCACUGCUUGGUGACUCUGAAUAACUUUUGGCUGAUCGCACGGUCUUGCACCGGCGACGCAUCUUUCAAAUGUCUGCCUUAUCAACUGUCGAUGGUAGGUUCUGCGCCUACCAUGGUUGUAACGGGUAACGGGGAAUCAGGGUUCGAUUCCGGAGAGGGAGCCUGAGAAACGGCUACCACAUCCAAGGAAGGCAGCAGGCGCGCAAAUUACCCACUCCCGGCACGGGGAGGUAGUGACGAAAAAUAACGAUACGGGACUCAUCCGAGGCCCCGUAAUCGGAAUGAGUACACUUUAAAUCCUUUAACAAGGACCAAUUGGAGGGUAAGUCUGGUGCCAGCAGCCGCGGUAAUUCCAGCUCCAAUAGCGUAUAUUAAAGUUGUUGCGGUUAAAAAGCUCGUAGUUGAAUUUGUGUUCCGCGCUGUCGGUUCACCGCCCGCGGUGUUAACUGGCACGUCUCGCGGAACGUCCUGCCGGUGGAUGUGAGAAUUUUUGUAUACUUCCCCAAUAUUAUACGUGUGCACACUUUAAUCGGUUUGUUACUGUAUAGUAUCUUUGGGUGGGGUUAUGAAUCAAUCCACAUCCGACUAUAAAAAAUCCUGUCGCGGUGCUCUUAAUUGAGUGUCGAGGCGGGCCGGCACGUUUACUUUGAACAAAUUAGAGUGCUCAAAGCAGGCUAAAAUUUCGCCUGAAUACUGUGUGCAUGGAAUAAUGGAACAGGACCUCGGUUCUAUUUUGUUGGUUUUCGGAACCCCGAGGUAAUGAUUAAUAGGGACAGAUGGGGGCAUUCGUAUUGCGACGUUAGAGGUGAAAUUCUUGGAUCGUCGCAAGACGGACAGAAGCGAAAGCAUUUGCCAAAAAUGUUUUCAUUAAUCAAGAACGAAAGUCAGAGGUUCGAAGGCGAUCAGAUACCGCCCUAGUUCUGACCAUAAACGAUGCCAGCUAGCGAUCCGCCGACGUUCCUCCGAUGACUCGGCGGGCAGCUUCCGGGAAACCAAAGCUUUUGGGUUCCGGGGGAAGUAUGGUUGCAAAGCUGAAACUUAAAGGAAUUGACGGAAGGGCACCACCAGGAGUGGAGCCUGCGGCUUAAUUUGACUCAACACGGGAAACCUCACCAGGCCCGGACACCGGAAGGAUUGACAGAUUGAGAGCUCUUUCUUGAUUCGGUGGGUGGUGGUGCAUGGCCGUUCUUAGUUGGUGGAGUGAUUUGUCUGGUUAAUUCCGAUAACGAACGAGACUCUAGCCUGCUAACUAGGCGUUACUUACCGGUAUCCUGAAGGCUCGUGUCUUUCGUUUCCUGGCGUACAUUUUUGUGUGUGGUGUAUAGUAUUGCUUGCGUGCAUACUGUUCCAACGGUGUGUGAGUCUGUGUGUAUGCAUUCACAUGCGGGUGUACGUUCAGUGCGAGAGUUCACGGUUUUUACUACCGGCGUACAUAUAAAUCUUCUUAGAGGGACAAACGGCUCUUAGCCGUAUGAGAUUGAGCAAUAACAGGUCUGUGAUGCCCUUAGAUGUUCUGGGCCGCACGCGCGCUACACUGAAGGAAUCAACGUGUCUUCCCUGGCCGAACGGUCCGGGUAACCCGCUGAACCUCCUUCGUGCUAGGGAUUGGGGCUUGCAAUUUUUCCCCAUGAACGAGGAAUUCCCAGUAAGCGCGAGUCAUAAGCUCGCGUUGAUUACGUCCCUGCCCUUUGUACACACCGCCCGUCGCUACUACCGAUUGAAUGAUUUAGUGAGGUCUUCGGACUGGUACGCGGUGGCGUUUAUACAUCGCCGAUGUCGCUGG